UUAGAUUCUUUGUAAUUUGUUGACCUGUUUUUGUCUUCUGUGGACCAAGGCACAUUAACGAAUUUAAAUGAGCGCAUCUGCGGUGACGGCCACACAUUCUUUCGGUCUGAAGGUCAGACCUGCCGAAAGGAAACUUGAUGUUUUCCACUAGUUUAACCGAGCUUUCACCUGAGGAGAUAUCUGGAGAUCCGAUUCUAAGUCUUCCUUUCUUUUUGACCAAGAAGAGAGGAUUUCCCACUGAAGAGGCCUUAUUUCUAAUUUUGCCCAUUUGACUGCGGGAAUUGAUGAGGUUAGAUAUCCCAGAACACUGAUUACCUGUCUUAUAGAGGUAUCUCUUUUCUGUAAAUCGGACACUUUUUUUUCUGGAUUUUCUUUCUUUUCUCUGUAGUCAGAUGUAGAGAUAACAUUCUUGGGUAUAUCUCAAAUCCCAGGAAUUCUAUUUUUCUGAAGGAAGUAGAAUCAACUUCUUUAUGUUAAGUAUCCAACCGUGUUCCAGAAGCACUUGGAUUGUGAACCGAAC
Molecule: non-coding RNA, 520 nt
Organism: Pelobates cultripes (western spadefoot toad)
Lineage: Eukaryota; Metazoa; Chordata; Amphibia; Anura; Pelobatidae
Source: the annotation of a GenBank genome assembly